RNAcentral lists this ribosomal RNA (657 nucleotides) under cf. Inocybe sp. EC299 B138. Its description in RNAcentral is "eukaryotic LSU rRNA". It matches the Rfam family "Eukaryotic large subunit ribosomal RNA", at positions 53 to 686 of the family's 3401-position model. Lineage: Eukaryota; Fungi; Basidiomycota; Agaricomycetes; Agaricales; Cortinariaceae. The record is from RNAcentral.
AGGAAAAAGAAACUACAAGGAUUCCCCUAGUAACUGCGAGUGAAGCGGGAAAAGCUCAAAUUUGAAAUCUGGCAGCUGACAGCUGUCCGAGUUGUAAUCUAGAGAAGUGUUGCCUGUGCUGGACCAUGUACAAGUCUUCUGGAACGGAGCGUCGUAGAGGGUGAGAAUCCCGUCUUUGACAUGGACUGCCUGCGCGCUGUGGCACGCUCUCGAAGAGUCGAGUUGUUUGGGAAUGCAGCUCAAAACGGGUGGUAAAUGCCAUCUAAAGCUAAAUAUUGGCGAGAGACCGAUAGCGAACAAGUACCGUGAGGGAAAGAUGAAAAGAACUUUGGAAAGAGAGUUAAACAGUACGUGAAAUUGCUGAAAGGGAAACGCUUGAAGUCAGCCACGUCGGCUAGAAAUCAGCCUCGCUUCUGCCUGGCGCACUUUCUGGUCGAUGGGUCAGCAUCAAUUUUGACCGCUGGAUAAAGUCUCUGGGAAUGUGGCAUCCUCUUUUGGAUGUGUUAUAGCCCACCGUCGCAUGCAGUGGUCGGGAUUGAGGAACUCAGCACGCCCUGCGAGGGGCCAGGCUUCGGCCAUGUUCGUGCUUAGGAUGCNUGGCGUAAUGGCUUCAAUCGACCCGUCUUGAAACACGGACCAAGGAGUCUAACAUGCCUG